This is a long non-coding RNA of Triplophysa dalaica, 758 nucleotides long. RefSeq lists it as uncharacterized. The transcript is spliced from 4 exons. Lineage: Eukaryota; Metazoa; Chordata; Actinopteri; Cypriniformes; Nemacheilidae. The record is from RefSeq and is a predicted model, not a curated record.
GAGACGACGAACACUUGCAGUUAUGCGAACCCGUCCUGUGGGAACCGCUUUUGCCUUCUUUUUUGUGCUUGACGCGGCGGUUCUGGAACCAGAUCUUGACUUGCUUCUCGGACAGGUUGAGGUGCAGCUUGUGCGAGAGAGAAACGGAGGCCCUUCGCCUCUCCCACCUCUUCAUGCUGCUCAAGCGCAAAAUAAGAGGGGUGUGAAAGGGAGCACUCCAAAAAGCCAUCACCUGCUCCAGUCUGUCCAGACACUCCCUCCCAUCAGAACAACAACCAUCAGUCUCUGGACCUCAGACCGACGACCCGCACGUGAUGGACGAAGACAAACAAGAGAAAAUUAAGAUGGGACAAAACAAGUCCAUUAACGGAAGUCGCGCCACUCGGCGGCCAUGUUUUCGACGCCCCGGACAGCUAUUUACGUCAUAGACGUCUCUUUGAAACUCAAACCAUGCUGAUCAUGCCGUACCCACAGCCUCCGGUGUGACCUGUGACCUCAGCUUCUUUACACUUCCUGUGCCGAGCGCUCUGAUGGAGGGAUGCACCUGCGGAUGGGCAGGUGACAGAGGAAUUCUGGGAGAAACGGAGUCUUAGAAAUGUAGAAGCUUUACUCUGACACAAAGUUUAAAGCCAUUGAGAACAGCAAAGAUUAGAGGCUCUUUGUACCCAUCAGCGUUAAACAAAUUAAUCUAUUGCUGUUCAGCUGACUGUAAAAUCUCUAGAUUUACUGUUUCUAUGAAGCCAUGGCCCGCUCGACCC